RNAcentral lists this ribosomal RNA (329 nucleotides) under Enterobacter hormaechei. Its description in RNAcentral is "bacterial SSU rRNA". It matches the Rfam family "Bacterial small subunit ribosomal RNA", at positions 1 to 305 of the family's 1533-position model. The record is from RNAcentral. Lineage: Bacteria; Pseudomonadati; Pseudomonadota; Gammaproteobacteria; Enterobacterales; Enterobacteriaceae.
UUAAUGGAGAGUUUGAUCUUGGCUCAGGACGAACGCUGGCGGCGUGCCUAAUACAUGCAAGUCGAGCGCGUGAAACUUUUCAGAUCUCUUCGGAGUGACGAAUUGUGGAUCGAGCGGCGGACGGGUGAGUAACACGUGGGCAACCUGCCUGUAAGAUCGGGAUAACUUGCGGAAACGUGAGCUAAUACCGGAUAAUGUCUUUUACCUCCUGGUAAAAGAAUGAAAGACGGUUUUGCUGUCACUUACAGAUGGGCCCGCGGCGCAUUAGCUAGUUGGUGGGGUAAUGGCCUACCAAGGCGACGAUGCGUAGCCGACCUGAGAGGGUGAUC